UUUUGGAUAGAUCAUAUUGACAAAAAAGUUUGCGACCUCGAUGUUGGAUUAGGAUACUUUUUUAAUGAAGAUAUUAAAAUAAGAAGUUUGUUCAACUUUUAAAUUCCUACUUGAUCUGAGUUCAGACCAA
This 130-nucleotide ribosomal RNA is filed under the name Rhipicephalus microplus (southern cattle tick). RNAcentral describes it as "partial large subunit ribosomal RNA". It matches the Rfam family "Bacterial large subunit ribosomal RNA", at positions 2489 to 2619 of the family's 2925-position model. Lineage: Eukaryota; Metazoa; Arthropoda; Arachnida; Ixodida; Ixodidae. The record is from RNAcentral.